UGGGGAAUAUUGCACAAUGGGCGAAAGCCUGAUGCAGCAACGCCGUGUGAGUGAUGAAGGCCUUCGGGUUGUAAAGCUCUGUCUUCUGGGACGAUAAUGACGGUACCAGAGGAGGAAGCCACGGCUAACUACGUGCCAGCAGCCGCGGUAAUACGUAGGUGGCAAGCGUUGUCCGGAUUUACUGGGCGUAAAGGAUGCGUAGGCGGAUACUUAAGUCAGAUGUGAAAAUCCCGGGCUUAACUUGGGAACUGCAUUUGAAACUGGGUAUCUAGAGUGCGGGAGAGGAAAGUGGAAUUCCUAGUGUAGCGGUGAAAUGCGUAGAGAUUAGGAAGAACACCAGUGGCGAAGGCGACUUUCUGGACCGUAACUGACGCUGAGGCAUGAAAGCGUGGGGAGCAAACA
RNAcentral lists this ribosomal RNA (402 nucleotides) under uncultured bacterium. RNAcentral describes it as "bacterial SSU rRNA". It matches the Rfam family "Bacterial small subunit ribosomal RNA", at positions 355 to 774 of the family's 1533-position model. The record is from RNAcentral.